This 465-nucleotide ribosomal RNA is filed under the name uncultured bacterium. Its description in RNAcentral is "partial 16S ribosomal RNA". It matches the Rfam family "Bacterial small subunit ribosomal RNA", at positions 339 to 795 of the family's 1533-position model. The record is from RNAcentral.
CUACGGGGGGCAGCAGUGGGGAAUAUUGCGCAAUGGGCGAAAGCCUGACGCAGCAACGCCGCGUGAGUGAAGAAGGCCCUCGGGUCGUAAAGCUCUGUCAGAGGGGAAGAACGGACGUAUCUCUAAUAUAGAUACGAAGUGACGGUACCCUCGGAGGAAGCACCGGCUAACUCCGUGCCAGCAGCCGCGGUAAUACGGAGGGUGCAAGCGUUGUUCGGAAUUACUGGGCGUAAAGCGCGUGUAGGCGGUUUGGUGAGUCCCGUGUGAAAGCCCUCGGCUUAACCGAGGAAUUGCGCGGGAUACUGCCAAGCUGGAAUACGGGAGAAGUGGGUGGAAUUCCUAGUGUAGCGGUGAAAUGCGUAGAUAUUAGGAGGAACACCAGCGGCGAAAGCGACUCACUAGCCCGAUAUUGACGCUAAGACGCGAAAGCGUGGGGAUCAAACAGGAUUAGAUACCCCCGUAGUC